UGGUGCCAGCAGCCGCGGUAAUUCCAGCUCCAAUAGCGUAUAUUAAAGUUGUUGCAGUUAAAAAGCUCGUAGUUGAAUUUCGGGAUUAGUACGUUGGUCGUGCCUUCGGUACGUACUGGUGUUACUGAUUCCUACCUUCUGACGAACCAUCAUGUCAUUAAUUUGGUGUGGUGGGGAAUCAGGACUGUUACUUUGAAAAAAUUAGAGUGUUUAAAGCAGGCUCGCGCUUGAAUACAUUAGCAUGGAAUAAUGAAAUAGGACGUUGACCCUAUUUUGUUGGUUUCUAGGAUUGACGUAAUGAUUAAUAGGGAUAGUUGGGGGCAUUAGUAUUCAAUUGUCAGAGGUGAAAUUCUUGGAUUUAUUGAAGACUAACUACUGCGAAAGCAUUUGCCAAGGAUGUUUUCAUUAAUCAAGAACGAAAGUUAGGGGAUCGAAGACGAUCAGAUACCGUCGUAGUCUUAACCAUAAACUAUGCCGACUAGGGA
RNAcentral lists this ribosomal RNA (485 nucleotides) under uncultured Glomeromycotina. RNAcentral's name for it is "SSU rRNA". It matches the Rfam family "Eukaryotic small subunit ribosomal RNA", at positions 562 to 1052 of the family's 1831-position model. Lineage: Eukaryota; Fungi; Glomeromycota. The record is from RNAcentral.